UACAGAGGUCCCAAGCGUUGUUCGGAUUCACUGGGCGUAAAGGGUGCGUAGGUGGCCAGGUAAGUUCGGUGUGAAAGCUCGGAGCUUAACUCCGAAAUGUCAUUGAAUACUAUCUGGCUGGAGGGUCGGAGGGGAGACUGGAAUUCUCGGUGUAGCAGUGAAAUGCGUAGAUAUCGAGAGGAACACCAGUGGCGAAGGCGAGUCUCUGGACGACUCCUGACACUGAGGCACGAAAGCCAGGGGAGCGAACGGG
Molecule: ribosomal RNA, 253 nt
Filed under: uncultured bacterium
Lineage: Bacteria
Description: partial 16S ribosomal RNA
Rfam family: Bacterial small subunit ribosomal RNA
Source: RNAcentral